AUUGAACGCUGGCGGCAUGCCUUACACAUGCAAGUCGAACGGCAGCACGGGUGCUUGCACCUGGUGGCGAGUGGCGAACGGGUGAGUAAUACAUCGGAACAUGUCCUGUAGUGGGGGAUAGCCCGGCGAAAGCCGGAUUAAUACCGCAUACGAUCUACGGAUGAAAGCGGGGGACCUUCGGGCCUCGCGCUAUAGGGUUGGCCGAUGGCUGAUUAGCUAGUUGGUGGGGUAAAGGCCUACCAAGGCGACGAUCAGUAGCUGGUCUGAGAGGACGACCAGCCACACUGGGACUGAGACACGGCCCAGACUCCUACGGGAGGCAGCAGUGGGGAAUUUUGGACAAUGGGCGAAAGCCUGAUCCAGCAAUGCCGCGUGUGUGAAGAAGGCCUUCGGGUUGUAAAGCACUUUUGUCCGGAAAGAAAUACUUGGCUCUAAUACAGUCGGGGGAUGACGGUACCGGAAGAAUAAGCACCGGCUAACUACGUU
RNAcentral lists this ribosomal RNA (486 nucleotides) under uncultured bacterium. Its description in RNAcentral is "partial 16S ribosomal RNA". It matches the Rfam family "Bacterial small subunit ribosomal RNA", at positions 30 to 507 of the family's 1533-position model. The record is from RNAcentral.